This is a long non-coding RNA of Schistocerca serialis cubense, 577 nucleotides long. RefSeq lists it as uncharacterized. The record is from RefSeq and is a predicted model, not a curated record. The transcript has 3 exons. NCBI's taxonomy places the organism in Eukaryota, Metazoa, Arthropoda, Insecta, Orthoptera, Acrididae.
GCUGAAAGCAUUUGAAAUUUAUCAAUUUUCACUCUAGCAGAAGGUAGUUUCGGACUUUGCCGAUUAUUACAAAUGAGGCCUUAUCACUGAAGUUUGUAACAUCCGAUAUCAGCGGAUAACUGCCAUUGCAUUUAGCGACAGCUGUAAACAGAAUGGCAGAAGAACCUUUUGAGAGGACGGAAAAGAAACCCGAGCCUGUCAGCAUUACCUCCCCUGAAAUGUAAGAAACUGGUGGAUUCCAAGACAAAAUUGUGGAAAAUGGAGACAUCUUCAAAUAACAGAAAGAAAUAAAGGCUGAAGAGGCAGGAUCACAGAUGUCAGAUGAAAGUUACCGCAAAAAAGGUUAAGUUGGAAAAGAGUGAAAAUGAAAAUGGAUGCUUGUGCAGUGACUGAAGUUGAAGUCAUAAAUUGAGGAUGAUGAAGCUACACGAAAAAGCUCUCAGCUCUACAGUCCGAGUCUGACCGACUUGUCCGACGAGCCACUGUCGGCGGCACUGCGAUCGCAGGCCCCUCACGGUGUGUGCUUACUCAGGCAAGUGUCGUGGGGAUUUGUUAAUGUAGAGGCUGACUAUACGCU